UACGUAGGGUGCAAGCGUUUGUCCGGAAUUAUUGGGCGUAAAGAGCUCGUAGGCGGUCUGUCGCGUCUGCUGUGAAAACCUAGGGCUUAACUCUGGGCGUGCAGUGGGUACGGGCAGGCUAGAGUGCGGUAGGGGAGACUGGAAUUCCCGGUGUAGCGGUGAAAUGCGCAGAUAUCGGGAAGAACACCUAUGGCGAAGGCAGCUCUCUGGGACGGUACUGACGCUGAGGAGCGAAAGCGUGGGGAGCGAACAGG
This 254-nucleotide ribosomal RNA is filed under the name uncultured bacterium. Its description in RNAcentral is "partial 16S ribosomal RNA". It matches the Rfam family "Bacterial small subunit ribosomal RNA", at positions 524 to 776 of the family's 1533-position model. The record is from RNAcentral.